This 1321-nucleotide long non-coding RNA is filed under the name Nicotiana tabacum (common tobacco). RNAcentral's name for it is "long non-coding RNA (NTAB_LNC019569)". Lineage: Eukaryota; Viridiplantae; Streptophyta; Magnoliopsida; Solanales; Solanaceae. The record is from RNAcentral.
GGAGAAAUAUUUUGGGGAUGAAAUAGUCAUAUAAAUCAGGUAUUUGCAAGAUUUGUUCCUACGUGGGUGUAUUAUAUUGAAUUUGCAGAAAGUGGUUAUUAUCUUUACCUAAAUAAUGAUUAGAUUACAAUGAUUGUGCAAUAAUGAGUUCAUAAAUUUUAAAGUGAGAAUGUGUACUGCUUUGUAUAUUGAAAUUUAUUCUAACAGUACCUAAUUCUAAUUUUUGGUACUAAACAUAUGACAUGUAGGAAUCUAAACAUGAUUUUCAUGAUCAGGAGUAAUUAUAUUCAAGAGUUGGCAAUGUUUAGGAAUUGUAAUGAUGAGGUUGGGAAGAUUAAGAAUCAUAUGUAAUGCAUUCCGCAGACAAACACUGUUUCGGCUAUUUUGGUUGACAAUUUAUUAUGUACAGAUUCUUAUUAAUUACACGGGGGGUUGGCUUUGAUUUUGAAUUUCCCUAAGAUCAUGGGAAUCUUACAUCUAAACUAAUUAGAAUGUGUUAUUCCAUAUUUUGAAUAGAUUAAGGCCAUUGGAGGUCAUUUGGUUGGGGUUCUAGGCGUGGCAAGAUUGGAGAACUUUCCGUUAGUGAGGUAAGUGAGAUUUUAAGCUUUGAUGCUUACUUUUCUAAAACCCGUUUUAAAAAUUAAUUUUUUCUGUCCGAUCCAUAUGUUGGGAUAAGUGUGCACUUGGCAGAAUCGGUGGUAUUAGACUAGCAGCAAAUAUAUUAUUUUAUGAAAAAUACAAAACAAAAAAAAAAUAUAAGUUGUUUGAUAGUUUGAUACGGCUGUGAGCCAUGUGUUGAGUUGAUAUGGUUGUGCGCCAUGAUGUCGAGUUUGAUAAUUUGAUACGGCUGUGUGCCACGAUGUUGAGUUUGAUACGACUGUGCGCCACGAUGUUGAGUUUUAUACGACUAUGUGCCAUGAUGUUGAGUUUGAUACGGCCGUGCGCCAUGAUAUUGAGUUUGAUACGGCUGUGCGCCAUGAUGCUGAGUUUGAUACGGCUGAGUGCCAUGAUGUUGAGUUUGAUACGAUUGUGNNNNNNNNNNNNNNNNNNNNNNNNNUUUUUCUAACACUUAUUCCAGAGGUAUUUAAAGUAGCGGUUCGAGGAUCUUACUGUGUUAUAUUUAUGUAUAACUCACUCCUUACUCGCUUCUCUAUGCAGAUACCGUUGCGGGAGAUAGAGCUAGUGGCUGACGAGUUGUUCGAGUGGAUCCUAUUGCUGAGGUGAGCCACCACAUUAUUCGUGGAGGCUUUCGUUUCAUACUUACCUAGCUCGUGUUAGUUAUUUCCUUUUUCUUUGGGAUUUGUAUACCUGUCAAUAAAAC